Molecule: ribosomal RNA, 497 nt
Filed under: uncultured bacterium
Lineage: Bacteria
Description: partial 16S ribosomal RNA
Rfam family: Bacterial small subunit ribosomal RNA
Source: RNAcentral
GAUGAACGCUGGCGGCGUGCCUAAUACAUGCAAGUCGAGCGAACGGACGAGAAGCUUGCUUCUCUGAUGUUAGCGGCGGACGGGUGAGUAACACGUGGAUAACCUACCUAUAAGACUGGGAUAACUUCGGGAAACCGGAGCUAAUACCGGAUGAUAUUUUGAACCGCAUGGUUCAAAAGUGAAAGACGGUCUUGCUGUCACUUAUAGAUGGAUCCGCGCUGCAUUAGCUAGUUGGUAAGGUAACGGCUUACCAAGGCAACGAUGCAUAGCCGACCUGAGAGGGUGAUCGGCCACCCUGGAACUGAGACACGGUCCAGACUCCUACGGGAGGCAGCAGUAGGGAAUCUUCCGCAAUGGGCGGAAGCCUGACGGAGCAACGCCGCGUGAGUGAUGAAGGUCUUCGGAUCGUAAAACUCUGUUAUUAGGGAAGAACAUAUGUGUAAGUAACUGUGCACAUCUGGACGGUACCUAAUCAGAAAGCCACGGCUAACUACGUG